Molecule: ribosomal RNA, 585 nt
Filed under: Salmonella enterica subsp. enterica serovar Muenster
Lineage: Bacteria; Pseudomonadati; Pseudomonadota; Gammaproteobacteria; Enterobacterales; Enterobacteriaceae
Description: partial 23S ribosomal RNA
Rfam family: Bacterial large subunit ribosomal RNA
Source: RNAcentral
GGGUUGUGAGGUUAAGCGACUAAGCGUACACGGUGGAUGCCCUGGCAGUCAGAGGCGAUGAAGGGCGUGCUAAUCUGCGAUAAGCGCCGGUAAGGUGAUAUGAACCGUUAUAACCGGCGAUACCCGAAUGGGGAAACCCAGUGUGACUCGUCACACUAUCAUUAACUGAAUCCAUAGGUUAAUGAGGCGAACCGGGGGAACUGAAACAUCUAAGUACCCCGAGGAAAAGAAAUCAACCGAGAUUCCCCCAGUAGCGGCGAGCGAACGGGGAGGAGCCCAGAGCCUGAAUCAGCAUGUGUGUUAGUGGAAGCGUCUGGAAAGGCGCGCGAUACAGGGUGACAGCCCCGUACACAAAAGCGCAUGUGCUGUGAGCUCGAUGAGUAGGGCGGGACACGUGGUAUCCUGUCUGAAUAUGGGGGGACCAUCCUCCAAGGCUAAAUACUCCUGACUGACCGAUAGUGAACCAGUACCGUGAGGGAAAGGCGAAAAGAACCCCGGCGAGGGGAGUGAAAAAGAACCUGAAACCGUGUACGUACAAGCAGUGGGAGCACAGGUUUACCUGUGUGACUGCGUACCUUUUGUAUA